This 253-nucleotide ribosomal RNA is filed under the name uncultured bacterium. Its description in RNAcentral is "partial 16S ribosomal RNA". It matches the Rfam family "Bacterial small subunit ribosomal RNA", at positions 524 to 776 of the family's 1533-position model. The record is from RNAcentral.
UACAGAGGGGGCAAGCGUUAUUCGGAAUUAUUGGGCGUAAAGCGCAUGUAGGCGGUUUGUUAAGUCUGGUGUGAAAGCUCAAGGCCUAACCUUGAAAUUGCAUUGGAAACUGGCAAACUAGAAUACUGGAGGGGUAAGUGGAAUUCCAUGUGUAGCGGUGGAAUGCGUAGAUAUAUGGAGGAACACCAAUGGCGAAGGCAGCUUACUGGACAGUUAUUGACGCUGAGAUGCGAAAGCGUGGGGAGCAAACAGG